RNAcentral lists this long non-coding RNA (1222 nucleotides) under Fukomys damarensis (Damara mole-rat). RNAcentral describes it as "lncRNA (ENSFDAG00000022626.1)". The record is from RNAcentral. Lineage: Eukaryota; Metazoa; Chordata; Mammalia; Rodentia; Bathyergidae.
UGUCCCACUAGGUUUGAGUUUUGUGUACUUCCUUAAAGAAGGUAACACCGUGGAGAAAAUUGUGCUAAUGGGGUACAAGCACUUCAUGUGAAGAGAGAGAGAGAGCUGAAAAAGCUUAAUCGGUAUCAUAAGAAGGUGUAAAAAUUCCCCCUGCUUCACAUAAGAACAGAGUGAUGAGUGCAGAAGAGAACAGACUUCAACACGAUUGUCACAGACUCCGUCUCUUCAACUUCCGUCUCUCCUAGAUUCCGGGAAGCUGGCGAAAUGUCCCUGAAUUAAUAGUGCUGACAAGCUACUUUUCAUCUUAUUGCUCUCCUGCUCAAGAAUUCCCAGGAGUCCCUAUUUACCCACACGGCCACCCCAGCUCCCAGCCUGCUGUGCGACUGACUGUCUUCUUUACAGCGUGGCCCCACGCACCCUCUCCACCUGGCUCUCUGGGACCUGCGUCUUCUGCUCCCCCGACUUCAAUGUCUUUGCAGUUUUUCUCGGUCUAUAAAACCAAGCUGCUUUGCUCCACCCAUCAUAAAUGUAUUUCAAACUGGGCAUGGUGGUGCACGCCUGUAAUCCCAGCACUUGGGAGGCUGAGGCAAGAGGAUCACUGGGAGUUCAAGCCAGCCUGCCCUACAUAGUGAGACCCUGUCUCAAAAAGAAAAGAAAAGAGAAUGUAUUCCAUUUUGUGGCAUAAAGUGCUGCUGAUUCUAGAAGUGAAAAUAAAGCCAAUUAACGCCUUUAAAUAAAUUUGCUGUAAUUUUGUCUCUUUAACAGUUGUGUACCAUGUACUUAUACAAUCAGCACUAUAACUGAAGUAUGUCUUUUCACCUAUUUAGCCUCAAAUGUUAAAUAAUAAAAGUUAAAAUUCAAAAGGAGAAUCAAACUUCGGUCCCUUCCUUACUGACAUACAAUAAAUUUGAAAGAAAACAUUCUUUGUAUAAAUAACAUUAAAUGCCAGAAUUAACCCAUGUGUUUGAAGUCUAAAAUCUGUUUGGAAUUCUAACAAUCAUCCUAAGAGAGGCCGGGGAUUUAGCUCAAUGGUUCCACCUGACUCACAAGCACAAGGUCCUGGGUUCGAUCCCUGGUACCAAAAAAUAAAUAAAAAUAAAUAAAAAAGAGACUCACUGUUCUUUCAAAAACCUUUUUCUAUAUUUCACAUGUCAGUUCCCGAAAUUUGUAUUUAUGAAGAGAAUUUAGUAAAUCUAAUCAUCAGCAAAUAUAUAAAAAUUAG